Molecule: transfer RNA, 71 nt
Filed under: Stegodyphus mimosarum
Lineage: Eukaryota; Metazoa; Arthropoda; Arachnida; Araneae; Eresidae
Rfam family: tRNA
About the family: Transfer RNA (tRNA) molecules are approximately 80 nucleotides in length.
Source: Rfam by way of RNAcentral
GCCUUCGUGGUGUAACGGUAGCACACUCGGUGCGUAUUCGAGAGAUCCAGGUUCGAAUCCCGGCGAGGGCA